Molecule: long non-coding RNA, 638 nt
Filed under: Mus caroli (Ryukyu mouse)
Lineage: Eukaryota; Metazoa; Chordata; Mammalia; Rodentia; Muridae
Description: lncRNA (MGP_CAROLIEiJ_G0013458.1)
Source: RNAcentral
UUUUGCGUCCUGCCUGUACAUUCCGAAGUUCUGUGAAAAGAGGCACUAGCGCUCAGCCACGCAAGGCAGGAAAAGAGAGGAAGUUUUCGCAUUCUGAUUGCAGCCUGAGUUCCCCGUAGCAAGGCUGCUUCUCUCCACCCACUCCUCACCAAGAACUCCUGAACUUGAGGGUGGACGACUUCAAAGCUAGCUCCCACAGACUCACCUGAAAAAGAGUUCAGCUGCGCGUUCAUUGAACCUGAUCACCUAUGUGAGGCGGUGGGAACCAUAUGGAGAUUUAUAUUAGAACUUCAGCAAAGUGCACAGCUGCAGCCGGCCGAAGCCAGCUCUCGGGCUGACAGGCAAAUGAACCAGAUCCUGGACGGGGCCUCUGGGUGGCAGCUCCGGCCUUUUGGUUGUUGGACAACUAUAGUCAGAACUGAAGUGGAACAGGGGCAGGAGAAAUAAUACACUUUUACUCCACGCAACUGUUGCUUUCACAUGAUCUUCAGGAAUGUAACUGGGAUAAUUGUCCAAAUCAAAUCCCAUGCCCUGUCAUGGUGAGUAGAACCAUUUAAAAUGCCAUUUUUUUUCGUGUUUAUCUGUAAUUUUUUCCCAUUGGUAAUCACAGUUUUCUGGUGAUUGGUAUAGGAAAUUCA